CCAAUAAUGGAGAAAGGCUUCACAUUUUUUCUGUCAACACUCUUCUUGCUUAUGGCUAGUUCAGUCAUGACCCAAACCAACAUUACUACAGAUCAAUUAGCUCUUCUGUCUUUAAAAUCCCAAAUCAUUUCCGACCCCUUUUACUUCUUGGAUGAAAGUUGGUCUCCCACUACGUCCGUUUGUCAUUGGGUUGGAGUCACUUGUGGCUCUCGUCACCAACAUGUGAAUUCCUUGAAUCUUUCUAACAUGGCUCUUACAGGCAAGAUUCCCCGUGAAUUUGGAAACCUCUCAUUUCUUGUUUCUCUUGACUUGGGAAGCAACAAUUUCCAUGGAAACUUGCCUCAAGAAAUGACACGCUUGCGUCGGCUUAAGUUUCUUGGUUUAAGUGUCAACAGCUUCAUCAGGGAGGUUCCCUCUUGGUUUGGGUUUUUACACCAACUUCAAUUUCUAAGUCUUGGAAAUGAUAGUUUCACUGGUUCCAUUCCUUCUUCAUUUUCUAAUGUGUCUACACUUGAGACUUUGAAUCUGUAUUUCAAUUCCAUCGAGGGUCAAAUCCCAAAAGUUACUGGAAAUCUUCUAAAUCUUAGAGUAUUAAACUUGAAAGGUAACAAGCUCGUAGGCUUUAUUACUCCGUACCUCUCUAAUGCCUCAAGGUUGGAGACUUUAAAAUUAUCUUACAAUUCACUUCAAGGAAACAUUCCAGAAGGGAUCAACAAUCUUCACAAUAUGAACUGGUUGUCCAUAGAAUCUAAUCAAUUUACUGGUUCUAUACCAUUCAAAGUUUUCAAUAUUUCUAGGAUCGAGUUCAUUGCAUUUACUGGCAAUAGCUUAUCAGGAAGUCUUCCCAAUGGUUUAUGCAAUGGUCUCCCAAAGCUCAAAGGGCUUUAUCUAUCCAAAAAUAAGCUUCAUGGUCCUAUGCCUACAAGCUUAUCAAAUUGUUCACAACUUCAAAUUUUGUCUUUAUCGGGAAAUGAGUUUGAUGGACCAAUACAUAGUGAAAUUGGAAGAUUGAGUAACUUGCAGAUAUUGUAUCUGGGAACUUACCAUUUCACUGGUACGUUCCAUCUUAUGAAUACUAGCACUAUUGUAUCUUAUUACUUCAGAAUUUUAUUUUAUUACACAUUAUUUUCAGAGAUAAUUCCUCAAGAAAUUGGAAAUCUUCUUAAUUUGGUAGAGUUAGCCAUGGAGGAUAAUCAGAUUACUGGCUCUGUCCCGAUCUCCAUAUUCAAUAUCUCAUCGCUGCAAGUUUUGUCAGCGUAGCAGAACAAUCUUAGUGAAUUCUUACUAUGGGAAAUCGGCAACUUAACCGAUUGGUGGAAAUAAGCUUAUAGGUGAAAUACCCAAAGAGAUAAGCAAUCUCAUUCAGUUGGAGCAACUUAAUCUUGGGUUUAAUAGUUUUAGUGGUUCACUUGAUAUGGAGAUUUCAACAUAUCAGGGCUGAAAAUAAUUGAUCUUUCACUCAACAGUCUGUCAGGAAGCCUCCCACCAAACAUAGGUUCAAUCUUACCCAACAUUGAAAGACUUUUUCGGGAUGGCUUAACCAAUCUUGUUGGGAAUAUUCCUCAUUCCAUCUCCAAUUGUUCAAAACUUACUAUUCUUGAGCUUUCUAUCAAAGAACUCACAGGCUUGAUUCCCAGCUCACUUGGAUAUUUGACUUAUCUACAGAUACGGAAUUUAGGAGGAAACAAUUUAACCAGCGACUCAUCAUUAAGCUUCCUGACAUCCUUAACCAAUAGCAGAAAUUUUACAGUUCUUUAUCUAUAUUCCAACCCUCUAAAUGGCAGAACCUUUCCACCUCUCUUAGAAAAUUUUACGCCAACAAUGCAAAAUCAAAGGCCGAAUUCCAAAUGAAGUUGGAAACUUAAGCAGCUUAUUAGACCUUGAUCUUUCUGGAAAUAACUCGGUUGGAUCGAUUCCAACAAUUAUUGGAAACUUGAGAAACCUUCAGUUGUUCAACUUGACUAUCAACAAAUUAACAGGAUUUAUUGGAGAUCAUAUAUGUAAAUUGCAGCAUUUGGGUGAAAUUUACUUGGGUCAAAAUCAACUUUCAGGAUCCAUUCCUUAUUACUUUGGGAAUAUUACUUCACUCAGGGAGAUACAUUUGGGUUCCAAUAUACCACCAAGCUUAGGGAACCUUCAAGAUCUAGUGGUUCUUGACUUAUCGUCAAACAACAUGGUAGGUUUUUUACCUGCAGAAAUUGGAAAUCUAAAGGUUGUAACGGAGAUGGAUUUGUUGAUGAAUCAAUUCUCAGAUGAAAUUCCUAGAGAAAUUGGAGGAUUGCAAAAUCUGGCACACCUUUCUUUGAGACACAACAAGUUGCAAGGAUAUAUACCUGACUCAAGGAGAAACAUGGUAGGUUUGGAAUUCCUAGGCCUUUCUCAUAAUAAUAUAUCUAGAAACAUUCCCAAGUCUUUGGAGAAACUUCAAAAUUUGAAGUAUUUCAAUGUUUCUGUCCACAAAUUGUAUGGUGAAAUACCCUCGGGGGGGGGGGGGGGGG
Molecule: RNA transcript, 2498 nt
Organism: Capsicum annuum
Lineage: Eukaryota; Viridiplantae; Streptophyta; Magnoliopsida; Solanales; Solanaceae
Gene name: putative receptor-like protein kinase At3g47110
Exons: 2
Source: RefSeq, a predicted model, not a curated record